AUUCCUACGGGAGGCAGCAGUGAGGAAUUUUCCCCAAUGGGCGAAAGCCUGAGGGAGCGACGCCGCGUGCGGGAUGAAGUCUUUCGGGAUGUAAACCGCUGUCGGAGGGGAUGAGAAAGGACAGUACCCUCCAAGAAAGCCCCGGCUAACUACGUGCCAGCAGCCGCGGUAAUAAU
RNAcentral lists this ribosomal RNA (176 nucleotides) under uncultured bacterium. RNAcentral's name for it is "partial 16S ribosomal RNA". It matches the Rfam family "Bacterial small subunit ribosomal RNA", at positions 335 to 526 of the family's 1533-position model. The record is from RNAcentral.